Molecule: microRNA precursor, 107 nt
Organism: Aotus nancymaae (Ma's night monkey)
Lineage: Eukaryota; Metazoa; Chordata; Mammalia; Primates; Aotidae
Source: Ensembl
GGCACUUGCGUGGGGGUUAGUGAGGAUAGGGCAAAUUCACGAGAUUGGCUUGUGCAGAGGCUGACACUUGGAUUUUCCUGGGCCUCAGGACUUCCUUUCAGACAUGG